CGAACGCUGGCGGCCUGCCUAACACAUGCAAGUCGAACGAGACCUUCGGGUCUAGUGGCGCACGGGUGCGUAACGCGUGGGAACCUGCCCUUAGGUUCGGAAUAACUCCCCGAAAGGGGUGCUAAUACCGGAUAAUGUCUUCGGACCAAAGAUUUAUCGCCUUUGGAUGGGCCCGCGUUGGAUUAGCUAGUUGGUAGGGUAAAAGCCUACCAAGGCGACGAUCCAUAGCUGGUCUGAGAGGAUGAUCAGCCACACUGGGACUGAGACACGGCCCAGACUCCUACGGGAGGCAGCAGUGGGGAAUAUUGGACAAUGGGCGAAAGCCUGAUCCAGCAAUGCCGCGUGAGUGAUGAAGGCCUUAGGGUUGUAAAGCUCUUUUACCCGGGAUGAUAAUGACAGUACCGGGAGAAUAAGCGCCGGCUAACUCCGUG
Molecule: ribosomal RNA, 431 nt
Filed under: uncultured bacterium
Lineage: Bacteria
Description: partial 16S ribosomal RNA
Rfam family: Bacterial small subunit ribosomal RNA
Source: RNAcentral